GCUUUCCUUUAUUGAUCUUAUCCUGCCUUGGAAGAUAAACAGAUUUGGGCAUGGUUAGGACUUGAAUAGGAAACCACCUGGGAAUACCAGGUGCAAUAAGCC
This 102-nucleotide ribosomal RNA is filed under the name Salvator merianae (Argentine black and white tegu). The record is from RNAcentral. Lineage: Eukaryota; Metazoa; Chordata; Lepidosauria; Squamata; Teiidae.